RNAcentral lists this ribosomal RNA (253 nucleotides) under uncultured bacterium. Its description in RNAcentral is "partial 16S ribosomal RNA". It matches the Rfam family "Bacterial small subunit ribosomal RNA", at positions 524 to 776 of the family's 1533-position model. The record is from RNAcentral.
UACGGAGGAUGCAAGCGUUAUCCGGAAUGAUUGGGCGUAAAGCGUCCGCAGGUGGCUGUGUAAGUCUGCUGUUAAAGAGUCUAGCUCAACUAGAUAAAAGCAGUGGAAACUACACGGCUAGAGUACGUUCGGGGCAGAGGGAAUUCCUGGUGUAGCGGUGAAAUGCGUAGAGAUCAGGAAGAACACCGGUGGCGAAGGCGGCUAUCUGGACCGACAUUGACGCUGAGGCGCGAAAGCGUGGGGAGCAAACAGG